Molecule: ribosomal RNA, 440 nt
Filed under: uncultured bacterium
Lineage: Bacteria
Description: partial 16S ribosomal RNA
Rfam family: Bacterial small subunit ribosomal RNA
Source: RNAcentral
CCUACGGGAGGCAGCAGUGGGGAAUAUUGCACAAUGGGGGAAACCCUGAUGCAGCGACGCCGCGUGAGUGAAGAAGUAUUUCGGUACGUAAAGCUCUAUCAGCAGGGAAGAAAAUGACGGUACCUGACUAAGAAGCCCCGGCUAACUACGUGCCAGCAGCCGCGGUAAUACGUAGGGGACAAGCGUUAUCCGGAUUUACUGGGUGUAAAGGGAGCGUAGACGGCAGCGCAAGUCUGGAGUGAAAUCCCAUGGCUUAACCAUGGAACUGCUUUGGAAACUGUGCAGCUAGAGUGCAGGAGAGGUAAGCGGAAUUCCUAGUGUAGCGGUGAAAUGCGUAGAUAUUAGGAGGAACACCAGUGGCGAAGGCGGCUUACUGGACUGUAACUGACGUUGAGGCUCGAAAGCGUGGGGAGCAAACAGGAUUAGAUACCCGAGUAGUC